GACGAACGCUGGCGGCGUGCUUAACACAUGCAAGUCGAACGGAAAGGCCCUGCUUUUGUGGGGUGCUCGAGUGGCGAACGGGUGAGUAACACGUGAGUAAACUGCCCUUGGCUUUGGGAUAACUUCAGGAAACUGGGGCUAAUACCGGAUAGGAGCUCCUGCUGCAUGGGGGGGGCUGGCAAGUUUCGGCGGUUGGGGAUGGACUCGCGGCUUAUCAGCUUGUUGGUGGGGUAGUGGCUUACCAAGGCUUUGACGGGUAGCCGGCCUGAGAGGGUGACCGGCCACAUUGGGACUGAGAUACGGCCCAGACUCCUACGGGAGGCAGCAGUGGGGAAUAUUGCACAAUGGGCGGAAGCCUGAUGCAGCAACGCCGCGUGCGGGAUGACGGCCUUCGGGUUGUAAACCGCUUUCGCCUGUGACGAAGCGUGAGUGACGGUAAUGGGUAAAGAAGCACCGGCUAACUACGUG
This 468-nucleotide ribosomal RNA is filed under the name uncultured bacterium. RNAcentral describes it as "partial 16S ribosomal RNA". It matches the Rfam family "Bacterial small subunit ribosomal RNA", at positions 28 to 507 of the family's 1533-position model. The record is from RNAcentral.